CCCUUCUUUGAUCAAAAUCCUUCAGUGGCCUCCUGUCUCAUUUGAAGUCAAAGCCAAAGUACUUACCUUGACUUACUGGGCCCUACUUGAUAAGACCACACCCCCACCUGCACUCCUCUGACCUCAUUUCCUACUAGUCUUCAUCUCCUUCACUCUACUCCAGCUUCCAGUGGUCUCUUCGUUGUUCCUGGAACGUGUCAGAAUGCUAUCUUCCAAAAGCACUUAUAAGAAGAGAAAAUGUUUGUGUUAGAGACAUCCUUUCAACCCCGCUGUAUCUUGGAAUGAGACUUGAAUAAAAAACACCUGUGCUUCCAAGCAGCUUGAAUUUCCUUAACAGCAAUGUGAGAGACAAUGUGAGAUACUUUUCAAAUUCCCCUUGGAUGAAGGAUUUGUUGCCCAGCUGCUGAGAGAGUGGUCAACCAUCAUCUGACAGGCCCUUCUAUGAUGGCCUCAACUGCAGAAACCCACAUUCUCUAAGGUUGAGUCUCUUCUCAGGGCAGCCUGCAUCCAACAACUGAUCAAAAUGGGAAUAUAAAGGCUUGACCCUCUUGCCCCAACUCCAGAUAACUCUACAAAGCUAGUCAAGGCCCAGAGUUCUUCAUGGGGUCAGUCCAGGAUGGCAUUUGGCCUUCUGGCAGCUUGACUCUUCCUGCUACCCAGUCCUGCUCUCUUCCCCUGCCUUCACAAAUGUUGACCCCAAGGGCACUCCUUAAUAAACACUCUGCAAGCUAAACUCCCUUUCAGAGUCUACAUCCUGGGGAGCCAGCUGGGGACAGUUAGUACCAUUAGUGAUUCAAGAAAGCAAGCAUUCAGAUGGAGUUUGGAACUGAAACACUCACCUCCUGGCUGACAGAAAAGUGGCAUAAGGGAACUUUCUGAGGUGAUGUA
This is a long non-coding RNA of Balaenoptera acutorostrata (minke whale), 888 nucleotides long. RefSeq lists it as uncharacterized. NCBI's taxonomy places the organism in Eukaryota, Metazoa, Chordata, Mammalia, Artiodactyla, Balaenopteridae. The record is from RefSeq and is a predicted model, not a curated record. The transcript is spliced from 3 exons.